AACGGGUGAGUAACACGUGAGUAACCUGCCCUUAACUCUGGGAUAAGCCUGGGAAACUGGGUCUAAUACCGGAUAGGAGCGCCGACCGCAUGGUGGGUGUUGGAAAGAUUUAUCGGUUUUGGAUGGACUCGCGGCCUAUCAGCUUGUUGGUGAGGUAAUGGCUCACCAAGGCGACGACGGGUAGCCGGCCUGAGAGGGUGACCGGCCACACUGGGACUGAGACACGGCCCAGACUCCUACGGGAGGCAGCAGUGGGGAAUAUUGCACAAUGGGCGCAAGCCUGAUGCAGCGACGCCGCGUGAGGGAUGACGGCCUUCGGGUUGUAAACCUCUUUCAGUAGGGAAGAAGCGAAAGUGACGGUACCUGCAGAAGAAGCACCGGCUAACUACGUGCCAGCAGCCGCGGUAAUACGUAGGGUGCGAGCGUUAUCCGGAAUUAUUGGGCGUAAAGAGCUCGUAGGCGGUUUGUCGCGUCUGUCGUGAAAGUCCGGGGCUUAACCCCGGAUCUGCGGUGGGUACGGGCAGACUAGAGUGCAGUAGGGGAGACUGGAAUUCCUGGUGUAGCGGUGGAAUGCGCAGAUAUCAGGAGGAACACCGAUGGCGAAGGCAGGUCUCUGGGCUGUAACUGACGCUGAGGAGCGAAAGCAUGGGGAGCGAACAGGAUUAGAUACCCUGGUAGUCCAUGCCGUAAACGUUGGGCACUAGGUGUGGGGACCAUUCCACGGUUUCCGCGCCGCAGCUAACGCAUUAAGUGCCCCGCCUGGG
Molecule: ribosomal RNA, 764 nt
Filed under: Micrococcus sp. 69
Lineage: Bacteria; Bacillati; Actinomycetota; Actinomycetes; Micrococcales; Micrococcaceae
Description: bacterial SSU rRNA
Rfam family: Bacterial small subunit ribosomal RNA
Source: RNAcentral